CAGCCGCCACGGGAAUACAGAGGGUGCGAGCGUUAAUCGGAUUUACUGGGCGUAAAGCGUGCGUAGGCGGCUUUUUAAGUCGGAUGUGAAAUCCCUGAGCUUAACUUAGGAAUUGCAUUCGAUACUGGGAAGCUAGAGUAUGGGAGAGGAUGGUAGAAUUCCAGGUGUAGCGGUGAAAUGCGUAGAGAUCUGGAGGAAUACCGAUGGCGAAGGCAGCCAUCUGGCCUAAUACUGACGCUGAGGUACGAAAGCAUGGGGAGCAAACAGGAUUAGAUACCCGUGUAGUCCCUGUCUCUUAUAA
This 301-nucleotide ribosomal RNA is filed under the name uncultured bacterium. Its description in RNAcentral is "partial 16S ribosomal RNA". It matches the Rfam family "Bacterial small subunit ribosomal RNA", at positions 509 to 809 of the family's 1533-position model. The record is from RNAcentral.